RNAcentral lists this long non-coding RNA (6115 nucleotides) under Citrus x clementina. RNAcentral describes it as "Citrus clementina (C. clementina) long non-coding RNA (CCLE_LNC004676)". Lineage: Eukaryota; Viridiplantae; Streptophyta; Magnoliopsida; Sapindales; Rutaceae. The record is from RNAcentral.
UAAAAAAAAGGUAAAACCAUAUGGACCACCACCAUUGUAUUCGUAAUUGAGUACCCAGGCCUAGCAUGCAGACAACCAAAAAAAAAAAGAAACGAGGGUCGGGGUCCUAUUUAUUAAUUAUUUGAAGCUUUCCCUCCGGACCCUACGUUGGAACUUUUUUUUUUUUUACAUGAGACUAUUGUUCAGAUUACAACUCAUAUUAUAUAAAAAUAUAACUGAUAUUUAUAAAUUAAAUUAUUACUGGGACCAACUUACAUCAAUGCUAAUGAAGCUCUGUCCAAAUUUUAAUCCUCACAAAUAUUCGAGGGAUGUUCACUCCUCACUCAUGGAUAAGGAAGAGAACUGUCUUCACUUAAUUUUUAAUUAAAAAAAUAAAAUAUCCCUACAAUAUUUUUGUGGGGGUUCGAACUGCUGCCCUCCAAGUUGGAGGGCAGUAGCCCUGACCAGUCGGCCGAAUGGCUCCCUACGUUGAAAAUUGGAAUCUAAAUUUGAAGCUUCCCACCUGACCAUACAUUGGAAUCUAACCAAACAUCUGCGUAAAUACUGAAAAGUGCCCCAACUAUAUGGAAAUUUAUGACUCAUAAAAAAAUAAAAAAUAUAUAUAUAUAUAUAUGUGUGUGUAUAUAUAUAUUGAAAUUUAUAUUUAAUAGUUACAUUCAGUGGGGGGUCGUUUUAAAAAGUCAAGAUAAAAUUUUCUCAAAAAAGAAAAAUGAAAAAAAAAAGAAAGUCAAGAUAAUUCUAAACUAAUUACUGAUAUGAUUAACAUUUUUUCCCUUCUUUUUCGGAGAAUGGUGGAGAUGGCGCGGUUAUAUACUAUUAGACACAUCAAACUUUUCAUUUCUCUAGAAAAGUUCAUUGAAGAGAAAUCGUCAUUAAUCCUUAUAUGGCGAUAUGACAUGAUUCUGUCAGCGACAAUAAUUGUACAUCAUUGACAAAAGUGGGGAAUCAGUGCCCUACGUAAAUAUAGAAAAAUUACUCGCGAAACCGUUAAAUUCAUUUAAACUUACUUGCAAAACUUUAUCUUUGCGGGUAAUUUUGUGGGUGACAGACAAGUUUUACAUUUUAAAUUUAAAUCUAUUACAGGUUGUGAAUGGGUUUAGUAUUAAAAAAAAAUCUGCCAGAUUAUGUUUUGAAUUUUAAUCACAAAAAUUACAUUGAAAAAAUGAAUCAUAAAUAUAUCUAAGCUAAAGUUAUUACUAGUGACCUAGUAUUUUUAGUUUCUAAAUCUAACCUAACUCACUGCUGCAGCCACAUGCCCUCCUCUUUCCACACACACACACAGAGAUAAGUGUAAUAAGCUUUUAAUAAGUAGAAAUUUUAUAAUUUUUAAAUUUAAUAUAAUUAAUAUUUUAUUUUAAUUUGAUUAAUUGUUUGUUUUGUUUUAAUGAUUUGAACAUAAUGAUUGCUUGUUAAAGUUGGGUUUUUAUUCGUUUAAUUAAUAACUAACGGGAGUUGUCCAAAAUUUACUAGUUAACAUUAUUGACAAUACUUGUACAUUGAUCAAAAGAUGGAGUAAGACAUUGAUCUCAGCGAUGAUGAUUUGCUCACAAUAAAAAUAUUUUGUGUUAAAUUGAUAUAUUUAGUAUAUUUGUCUUAAUGUUGAAAUUUUAAUUUCUCAUUUAUAUUGAUAAAAUGUAGAAUCAAGUAUUUUGUACGGGCUUUUAAGUUAAUGUUAUAAAUUUAUAAUUUGAAUUAUAUAAUUUAAAUUUUAAUGUAUUAUGUAUUUUAUUAACAUUUGUGAGGUUAAAUGUAAUAAACUAAAAAAUAUUUGCUGUGAAUUUGAUAAUUCUCGAAAUCCACAUUGGAUUGUGAACAAAUUUAAUAAUUGGCAAAUGCUAAGUUACAAUAAUUGUAACAUACAUUCCUCAUGUGAUCCACACAAAUUGUGGGUCUAAUAAUUUAAUCUUUUUGUGAGUAUAAGUUUAGUAAUGUCAAACCCACAAUGAAUACUAUGCAUUGCGUUCCUUGCCACGGGGUGGGAGUUGAUCACAAUAUAUUAAUUCUUUUGUUCGCAAAUAAAAUAUGUAUUCUUUUUUUCUAAUUAAACAUAGCCAAUUUAUGCACAAAAAUAAUAUUGACCCACAUUGCACAAAAAUGAAAGAAAAUGGACAACCGUCUAAUAGCUCAUUAAUUUGUUUUGUAGAAUCACGCGGUCAAACUUUCUUCCUGGAGAAUUGGGCAACUAAUUGAAUUGUUGGAAUCCAACAUUAAUUAUUUAUGCUUUUGUUAAAUUAAAAACUUUUUAUAAGAAUUUAGUACUAAGUUGAGUUUUUACUGAAUAAUAAAUUAAUAGUUAGUAGACAUGAUAAAUAAAUAAAAUAAUUAAAAUAAUUUUAACCAUUAAUCUAAACACUUUUGUCAAAAUUAUAGCCUCUAAGAAUUAAUUAAAUGCGAAUCUUUUUCCCUUCAGAGUUCAAAUACAAGUUAGAGAGAUAGUUUCACCAGCACAGGUGGCUGCAUCCGAUCCAAGUACAAUAUUGAUCUUUUGAAAUAGAGCUGGCAAAACGGGUCAUCGGAUCGUGUUCGUGUCGUGUCAAAUUUAAAUUGACCCAAACCCGACCCAUUUAAUAAUCGUGUCAAAAUAUUGAGACCCAAAUCCGACACGAAAAAAUAAUCGGGUUACCUAAUAACUCAUUUAAUAUCUAUAUAUUGAACAAAAGUUACAUCAAAUAUUUACACACUGUCAUACAUACGCUAUGUACAUACAUACAUACAUACAUAAUUUAUCAAUAUUAUAAAAUAUACAUAUCUACCAAUAUAUUACUCAUUUACACUAUUGAGGUUUUAAUUAUAUAUAUAUAAUAUUUUAUAUCAAUAUUAUAAAAUAUAGAUGUCUAUCAAUUUUUACACAUUUACACUAUUGAAGAUCUAAAUGUAUUUAAAAUUUUAUAAAUAAAACACUGUGUUUAUAUUCACCCUUUUAAAGAAUAAAAAAAAGAAAAUCAUUACUAAUAUAUGAGUUUUAAUGAUAAGAAUAUGUAAAUUAUUUUAAAAUAGAAAAUAUAAUCGAGUCAUUGAUCGGGCAAAUGGGUCAAGAAUUUUAACCCAAACCCGACACAAAAAAAAAUUAUGUUGACCCUGACCCGACCCAUUUAAUAAUCAUGUUAAAUUUAACGACCCAUACCCAUUUAUUUAUGUCGUGUUCGUGUCGGAUAAUCGGAUCGUGUCAAAUUUUACCAGCUCUAUUUUGAAAGACCAAUGAUCCGGACCCGCGAGUGGGCAUGCACGUUAGGGUUCGGGACAAGGACUUGCCGAACGUAUGCUUGUACACGUUUCUCAACUACACUUUUACUUUCCCUCGUGACGAUUGUAUCGAGUUCGAGGCCAGUUAAGAUAUUUUUAUUGACUUUACAGUGCCGUCCAACUGGAAAGCAUAAAAUGUCGUCAUCAGCAAGGCACGUAACGUUACAUAUAAAAGGAACACGUUUUUACAUUUAACUAAUUAGCCCUCGUCACUUGGCUUUAGCUAUUUUAAGAUGUUAGGCUCCACCACGUACCCAAACCAGUGCAUGUGUUUUGAUCACGAGUGUGCAACGUUACAUGCCAAUGCCUAACGCGAAGCAGUCCACCGACUGAGGAGCGGCUGAAAAUAACGAGACUAUAAUGUUGAACACACGUGAUCGUAUAAAUUAAGCGCAAUCAUAUGAUGGCAUUUUGUCUUCUUGCUACAUUUCUGAGACAGCGUCAUCAUGCCAAGCCGAUACCAAGCAAAUAGAGAGGAUGGCAUGACCCAUCUGGCGACCAUCUUAUGCUCGGAUUCCCAUUAAGAGAAGAACAUGGGAACAUUAUUAAUUUGUCCUCUCACUGUUGUGUUGCAGUGAUCCAUCGUUAGAGUCUUAGAGAUGGUCCCGCUACUUGUUUACCUACAACCGUACAUACCCAAUAAUUCAGGAAAAGGCGGAAAGAGCGCACAUGCCUACUUGCAAAGAGCAAUUAAAGAACUCUGAGGCAUCGUCGGAACGUGGGUCACUUUGUUCAUUAUUGCUGUGCCCACUAUAGGUGAAAUGACUGCAAUUCUAUGCAUGGUAGGUAGUAUGCUGAUAUGUCCUUUACAUACGCGCCCAUCUCUUCGAGUGUGCAAUUAAUCGGCCAAUGUCUUCGCUAGGAUAUUAUUAUUGACUCGUUGACUGGUAGCUAGCUACUGGCUCGACAGUAGUGGAAAUUUGGAUAUUAUUAUUGACUCAUUGACUGGUCGCUAGCCAGCUAAGCUAGGCAGUUGUGGAAAUUUGGAUAAUUAUCAAACACCUCUCCUGGCGUUUGGUUUUCUCUCAGUUUGAUAGAUUGUAAUCGCAUAUUCUCAAACAUCUCCCCUAACGUUAAUAGACUGUUUAUUUGACCGUUUGUUACAUGAUAAAAUAAUCAAAAUGAAAAUACCCCUAAUUAAAAAAUAAUUUGCAUACUGAAAAGAAAGUAAACUGACUACACAUUUCAAACUAUCCUCACCGUGUAAUUCUAUCUUUAAUUUAACCACAACUUACAUCACAACACAUUAAUGCCAAUCAUCAUAUCAAAACAAUUUUUGUAUCCUAAAUCAAUCUACUCUUUCAAGUGGUCAAAUAUUGUUGAACACAACCAGCUACAAUAGUCGUAAAGAAAAUGAAAGAAAUGGCUAUAAAGUCUAACAGAGUCUCACAUAAAUCACUCAACAGUAAUUACCGACAAUAAUAGAAUUAACAUUAGGUUGGACUAAGACCAAAUUGGUCCACAACACACUACAAGUCGCUAGAGUUUAUUUGCACUUGUUUAGCAAAGAAGAAACAAGAAGUUUCAAAACACAUAAUAUACAUAUAAUAUUAUUUCCGUCUAAUACACAUUAGUAAGCCUCGUAUUGAACUAUAUUACAUAUAAAAGAAAUACGCCAAACUUCAGGGGAGGUCUCUGAUAAUUACCUGUGGAAAUUUCACUUGCCUUGAAAUUUAGUCUUGUAACUCACAAGGGGAGGAGAAUGAUCUGUUCUCUUUUAUAGAUUUUGAUUUUAUCAUUAAUUUUUUUUAAUUUCAUUACUCAUCAUUCUCGGAAUUAUUUAAAAAAAAAUUUGACCCCAACCACAAAAUAACACAUUUUUUCUAAUUAAAACGCAAAUAAGUAUUAACCAAAAAAAAUCAAACUCCUUAUAAAGAGACUCCAGUUGUGUAAGAAGUUUAGUUACAAAAGGGAUAUUUUAAUUCAAGAAUUUAAUUUAAAAAUCCAAACAUGAAAACUUUGAACAUUUAUUUAGUUCAAUUGAAGGAUUGAGAUAAUUAAAAAUGUUGUAUUAAAACUUUAUUUAAAAUAAGACUUGAAAAUAAAAAGGUGGAUGAUAUAUUAAAACUGUGGUAGUGCUUGUUUUUUCAUCUAAAAUUUAAAUGAGUUUGAAUGUUACUAAAGUCUGAAAGAGUCUAAAUGAAUAUAUCAUAAUAAUAUGUUUGUUUUUUUUUUAUUUUUUGACGUCUGAGGGUAAGUAAUAAGUUAUUUAUUUCUAUAAGCUCAAAACAUUUUAAAUUUAAUAUUUUUACACUUCCGACCUUGAAAACUGUUAUCUAAUAAUAAAAGUAUUUGUUUAAUUCAAAUUGAAUGUAUGUUGAGUAUUUAAUACCAAACAAAAUUUGAGAUUAAGGAAAAUACUAAUAUGACAUCUAAUAGUUAGGUAGGAAAUAAGUACAUUUAAUGAGGGUAUUUGCGUGAAAAAAAAUUAAAUUUUCAUUCAAACAUUUUAUCAUUUAAAUAAAAGUCAAGAAAUUUUACUUUUUUCAUUCAAAUAAAAUGUCUUACGGUCAUUCUUCAGACAAAAAGCAAACAAGCCAAAACAUUAAAACAUCUUAAAUUAAGCCAAACUAAGACUUAAAACAUAAAAAUAAACAACCCUUGCUAAAAAUGGAGAGUGACUCUUGGUAUACUCCCUUUUUCAAAGAGAUUACACCAGCAAAAAUUCUGCAAAAUCUAUCUUUACAUUUUGGUUUAUCAAGAGUCUCUUGAAAAAUAAUUUCUGCAAGUGUCUGCUCCUAGUUUAGCAAGUUUUGUCUUAUAAAAUAGGGAAAAUGACACCUACACACUAAAGAUUUAAGAAAAUAGUCAUGCAGAACCAAAUUUUCAAUAAGGAAAACUAAUCCACUUUUGACUAUAUACCAUUUGUAUA